GUGGGGAAUCUUGCGCAAUGGGCGAAAGCCUGACGCAGCCAUGCCGCGUGAAUGAUGAAGGUCUUAGGAUUGUAAAAUUCUUUCACCGGGGACGAUAAUGACGGUACCCGGAGAAGAAGCUCCGGCUAACUUCGUGCCAGCAGCCGCGGUAAUAUGAAGGGGGCUAGCGUUGCUCGGAAUUACUGGGCGUAAAGGGCGCGUAGGCGGACAGCUUAGUCAGAGGUGAAAGCCCAGGGCUCAACCUUGGAAUUGCCUUUGAUACUGGCUGUCUUGAGUUUGGGAGAGGUGAGUGGAACUCCGAGUGUAGAGGUGAAAUUCGUAGAUAUUCGGAAGAACACCAGUGGCGAAGGCGACUCACUGGCCCAAUACUGACGCUGAGGCGCGAAAGCGUGGGGAGCAAACAGGAUUAGAUACCCGAGUAGUC
This 424-nucleotide ribosomal RNA is filed under the name uncultured bacterium. Its description in RNAcentral is "partial 16S ribosomal RNA". It matches the Rfam family "Bacterial small subunit ribosomal RNA", at positions 354 to 795 of the family's 1533-position model. The record is from RNAcentral.